This is a long non-coding RNA of Dromiciops gliroides (monito del monte), 332 nucleotides long. RefSeq lists it as uncharacterized. The record is from RefSeq and is a predicted model, not a curated record. Lineage: Eukaryota; Metazoa; Chordata; Mammalia; Microbiotheria; Microbiotheriidae. The transcript is spliced from 3 exons.
CGAUAAACAAGGGAUGGAUUUUGUGAGGAAGUAGGAGCCAGAAUCUCAGAUCAUUUUGAGGGCUGAGAUCUGCUAGUAAUCAGUGUUGUGUGCAUAAAGAAGAAUGACCCUCCAUUCCAAUGAUUCUAUCCACCAUGCUGGGAUAACCUCAUGUUCACCUGGAAACUUGUCCAACUUUUGGAAGAGAGGGCAGUGAUGGCCACAGGUCCCUUACUACUAGAGGUACCAGAGUGGUUUGACAGUCAUUCUCCAGCUGCCUUUACAGAUGAGGAAACUGAGGCAAGCAGGGUGAAGUGACUUGCCCAGGGUCACUUGGCUUAUAAGUAUCUGAG